AUUGGAUUUUAUGUGUAUUUGUUGCAGAUGGCGACAGUUACUGUUAAAAAGGAAGAAGAGGAGGAUGAGGUUGAUAGCAGCCAGCAACCAGAUGCAUUGGAAGAUGAUUGCAGCCAACAAAAUUAUCUAAUCCCUGGCUACAACAUGAUCUUCAUCAAAGAGGGUCCAUAUGAUGAGCAAGAGGCUGGAGGAAGUGCAGUGAAGAGUGAACCAGAGAUGUGGCAUUCAAACUGCAGCACAUCUGGCCAAGACUACACAACAGAAGAGGGUGGACUGAUUGAGCAUUCAAUCUCUCCAAUGGAAAAGUGCACUGAGUCAUCUGUGGCUGGCAAAAAGAUCAAGCUCUACAGCUGUGCUCACUGUAGCUAUGAAACACCAAAUUCUGCUAAUUUGAAGAGACACAUUCGGAAACACACUGGAGAAACACCUUUCAGCUGCGAGUUUUGUGACUACAAAACUGCUCGUUCUUGUCUUUUGAAAGAACAUAUAACAACACAUACUGGAGAAAAACCUUACAUCUGUGACUUUUGCAACUACAAAAGUGCUAAGUUGAAUAGUUUGAAGAGACACAUCAGAACACAUACUGGAGAAAAACCUUUUAGCUGUGAGUUAUGUGACUUCAAAAGUUCUCAGUUAUAUCAUUUGAAAAGUCAUAUGAGCACACAUACUGGAGAAAAACCAUUCAGCUGCGAGCUUUGUGACUUCAAAAGUGCUAGUUCAAGUAGUUUGAAAAGACACCACAUCAGAACACAUACUGGAGAAAAACCUUUCAGCAUGGAGUUUUGUGACCUCAAAAGUGAUACGUUGGGUAAUUCGAAAGCACAUACCAGAACACAUGCAGCAGAAAAUCUUUUCAAUGAAUUAUGGAUUAUUUCAGAUCAUCAAGAGGCUGAAGGAAGUGCAGGGAAGAGCGAACCAGAGAUGUGGCCUCCAAUCUGCAGCACAUCUGGCCAAGACUACACAACAGAAGUGGGUGGACUGAAUGAGCAUUCAAUCUCUCCAGUGGAAAAGUGCACUGAGUCAUCUGUGGCUGGCAAAAAGACCAAGCUCUACAGCUGUGCUCACUGUAGCUAUGAAACACCAAAUUCUUCUAGUUUGAAGAGACACAUUCGGAAACACACUGGAGAAAAACCUUUCAGUUGCGAGUUUUGUGACUACAAAACUGCUCGUUCUUGUCUUUUGAAAGUACAUGUAACAACACAUACUGGAGAAAAACCUUACAGCUGUGACUCUUGUGACUUCAAAAGUGCUAAGUCAGAUAGCUUGAAGAGACAUAUCAGAACACAUACUGGAGAAAAACCUUUUAGCUGUGAGUUAUGUGACUUCAAAAGUUCUCAGUUGAGUCAUUUGAAAAGUCAUUUGAUCACACACACUGGAGAAAAACGUUUCAGCUGCGAGCUUUGUGACUUCAAAACUGCCAAGUUAGGUAAUUUGAAAAGACACCACAUCAGAACACAUACUGGAGAAAAAAACCUUUCAGCAUGGAGUUUUGUGACCUCAAAAGUGCUACAUUAGGUAAUUUGAAAACACAUGCAGCAGAAAAUCUUUUCAAUGCAUUAUGGAUGAUUACAGAUGAGCAAGAAGCUGUAUCGUCUGCAAAAAAAUAUGUCAGAACGAGAUUUGAGCCUGGGUCCCACAGUGUGUCAAACUAUGCUCUAACCGUCUUGGACACCAUGCCCUGGUAACAGUGGAUUCGAAAAAGUAGGAACAUGAAUAUUGCUGUAUCUUCAAAGAUAUGGAAAAGUAGCUUUUGAGGUGGCUGAUGGAGGAAUCUCAUUGACUUGGGCUGCAAUGGAUGCUGGAAGGCAGCGGCCCCAAUACAAGUAAAUAUCUAAUAGCUGAUUGUUGAAUUGAUACGAAUCUUGGACGUGGAUGACCGCGCAGAGGAAUAUGAGGAAACUUGUACUGCUUGAGAAGACUUCGUCUCCAAUCUUCAGCGGUGGAUUACUUCACAUCUUGAUAUCGUGUAUCUAUCACCAAUCGACAAAUUUCUGCAGGAAAGGGAAUCGCCAGUCAACAUAGACUCUGGAAUUUAAUAUUAAAUUUCAAUAUGACUUAUGUGUUACGACAAAGACAAUAAACUGACAAAGACAAUAAAUUGAGUAAUUAAACAUUUUAUGUUUUUUCAUUCAUCUUUUUAUUUUUGUUUUAUGAUUUGUUUAUUUGUUAUUAAACGUUAUUAUUUUCUGUUUCAUCAUUUUAUUUUUAUUUUAUCAUACAUUUUUAUUUCAUUCAUUCAUUCAUCAUCAUUAUUAUUAUCUCAUUUUCUACAAUAUCGAAGGAUUGAUUUAUGAGUGAACUUAUCUUAUUUGAUUGAAACCUCAGACCAUAUUCGCUAUGAUGUCUGAAACAGUGACAUUCUAAUAGUUGUGAAGCGUUAUUUGUUUCAUAAUCUGUAUUCAUAAAAAUG
Nilaparvata lugens (brown planthopper) is the source of this 2410-nucleotide RNA transcript. It is a transcript of the gene named gastrula zinc finger protein XlCGF57.1-like, with no coding region annotated. The transcript has 5 exons. The record is from RefSeq and is a predicted model, not a curated record. NCBI's taxonomy places the organism in Eukaryota, Metazoa, Arthropoda, Insecta, Hemiptera, Delphacidae.